Molecule: ribosomal RNA, 253 nt
Filed under: uncultured bacterium
Lineage: Bacteria
Description: partial 16S ribosomal RNA
Rfam family: Bacterial small subunit ribosomal RNA
Source: RNAcentral
UACGUAGGUGGCAAGCGUUGUCCGGAUUUACUGGGCGUAAAGAGCGCGCAGGCGGUCGGUCAAGUCUGGUGUGAAAGCCCCCGGCUCAACUGGGGAGGGUCACGCGAUACUGAUCGACUCGAAGGCAGGAGAGGGUAGUGGAAUUCCCGGUGUAGUGGUGAAAUGCGUAGAUAUCGGGAGGAACACCAGUGGCGAAGGCGACUACCUGGCCUGUUCUUGACGCUGAGGCGCGAAAGCGAGGGGAGCAAACGGG